AGUGGGCAGAUGAUGAUUUAUCGUUUUUAAUGGGUAAUUUGCGUCUGAAGCUUGUAUUCGUGAUGUUACCUAUCGUAUCACCUUGGAGAUCUGAUGCCCAAU
Zingiber officinale is the source of this 102-nucleotide small nucleolar RNA. Lineage: Eukaryota; Viridiplantae; Streptophyta; Magnoliopsida; Zingiberales; Zingiberaceae. The record is from RefSeq and is a predicted model, not a curated record.